Molecule: long non-coding RNA, 676 nt
Filed under: Papio anubis (olive baboon)
Lineage: Eukaryota; Metazoa; Chordata; Mammalia; Primates; Cercopithecidae
Description: lncRNA (ENSPANG00000041617.1)
Source: RNAcentral
CUGACAACUGAGAGGGCGGGAGAGGAGAGAAGAAAAGACUGCUGCAGAGACAGGAGCACAGGAACCCGGAGUUGACAGAGAGCCUGGAAGCAAAAGAAAGGAAGGAAGCAAAACAAAAAGACGGAUGCAGCAGAACCUCCAUUAGCCAGCCAGCUUGGGGAAUGAGGCAUUAUGGUUAAUGGAAGUUUCUAGUUAACGACGGGGACUAUGAGAUCUUAUGGCAUCUCAAAGGGCAGAAGUCUGGACAGGAAGACCAAUUGCAUGGUGGAGGACUCCCCAAGUAGACCACGUGUGUGCCAGCCCAGCAGGCAAACUGCCCUGUAUGUGUUUGUCCAUCAACUGUGCGUGCAGAGCUUUACUCGUGUGCAUGACACAGGAAGCCCACGGGACACUCCCCCAGCACGCCCCGCUUCCUCGGCACUCCUGGAAGGAAGACCUGUUCUUGUUUCUUCCGUACUCUCAGGAUCUGGCACAGAACCCGACAAAGGAAAUAUUUCAUGAACUAUGGCGUAGACCUGGCCGUGAACAAGACCCUGGGACCUUGUUCCAGAAGCAGCAAGGUGCAGCUUCUGCCCUCAGCAACCUCACUAAUGGACGCUGCACAGUGGGCAGCAAGCGACACCAGAGAGCAUCAGGAUUAGGAAGUCUGUUCGGAUUAGCAUGGAAUCAGAUAUGA